CGUUUCUACUUAAAAUCAGGGGUGGACUGGCCAUCUGGCAUACCGGGCAUCGUCCCGGUGGGCCGUUGACCCAAUGUGGGGCGGUCCGGUCCGCUAUGUUUUCUUUUUUACUCUCUCUCUAAAUUCCCUCCAAUUGGGCCGGCCAAUGGGCUACAGAGAGCUAGCAGUGUGUUGCCAGCAUGGACGCAUAUUAUUGGUCUAUGUUUGUCAUUGUCAAUCAAUCAUGGGCUGACUGGCUCAGAGAGCCCUGACAGUGCUGUCAAUCACAACACAAACCAGGUUAAAUGUUCAAAAUUGACAGACCUAUUUGGUGCCGGGGUCCGCACCCCAGCAGGUGCUGCUGCGCCAGGAGACGAGCGAGUGGAGGCAUAUAUGCUAAGUAACGUUAGCCUGGGGCUAGCUAGGCUACAUUUUGAGACAUGUCCAAAACAAAGUAGAAAACGUUUUUACAUUGAAUGUGAUGUGACCUAAUUAACUGCAUACUUGUGACAACAUAUUAGCCCAGAGUUGAAGGGCUGUGACUGUUGGUAGUUGUGGUUGAUUUUGUUUAAAUAGGCCGAAUUGUGAUAUUAUUGGUUAUUAUUGUUCAGAUGAUUUGGCUAAGCUAGCUAACAGCUGCUAACGUUAGCAGUCUCUUGUUGCCAUAGCAACAGUAUACAUUGACAUGGACUAAUGAGCAGUAAAUAGAGAUGCAGAAUCAAGCUGUAUUGUAAAUACAGAUGUGACACUUUGAAUUUUAGCACAAAAUACAAGUAAACCUAUUGGAAAUAAUUAGUUUAAUUUGCAAUAUUUGCCAUUGAAUUUAUUGUAAUCUUUCAAUUCAUUUAUUGUUUACUGAGGUGAUGACUAUUUCGAGAGGAAUGCAAUAUGUGUAUGUUUAAAGGUUUAUGUGAAGAAAUAUACUAUAUGUGUGAUAAAAUGACAAUUGGUUAUUCAUAAA
This is a long non-coding RNA of Gadus macrocephalus (Pacific cod), 940 nucleotides long. RefSeq lists it as uncharacterized. The record is from RefSeq and is a predicted model, not a curated record. The transcript is spliced from 2 exons. Lineage: Eukaryota; Metazoa; Chordata; Actinopteri; Gadiformes; Gadidae.